AUUGAACGCUGGCGGCGGGCCUAACACAUGCAAGUCGAGCGGAUGAAGGGAGCUUGCUCCUGGAUUCAGCGGCGGACGGGUGAGUAAUGCCUAGGAAUCUGCCUGGUAGUGGGGGAUAACGUCCGGAAACGGGCGCUAAUACCGCAUACGUCCUGAGGGAGAAAGUGGGGGAUCUUCGGACCUCACGCUAUCAGAUGAGCCUAGGUCGGAUUAGCUAGUUGGUGGGGUAAAGGCCUACCAAGGCGACGAUCCGUAACUGGUCUGAGAGGAUGAUCAGUCGCACUGGAACUGAGACACGGUCCAGACUCCUACGGGAGGCAGCAGUGGGGAAUAUUGGACAAUGGGCGAAAGCCUGAUCCAGCCAUGCCGCGUGUGUGAAGAAGGUCUUCGGAUUGUAAAGCACUUUAAGUUGGGAGGAAGGGCAGUAAGUUAAUACCUUGCUGUUUUGACGUUACCAACAGAAUAAGCACCGGCUAACUUCGUG
Molecule: ribosomal RNA, 484 nt
Filed under: uncultured bacterium
Lineage: Bacteria
Description: partial 16S ribosomal RNA
Rfam family: Bacterial small subunit ribosomal RNA
Source: RNAcentral